CGGCCGCCCUGAGCGAGGAGCCGACUGCGGCCUCCGCGACCCCUCCCGCAGCUCCGCCCACCUCCCCACCCUACGGGUCCCCGGGGGAGAGCGGAGCAGCUGGCCAAUGAGGGUGCGGGCAGUUCGAAAGGCCGAGGUGCUGCGCCUCUCCCAGGACCUUAUGCUCCGCACGAAACCUGGCAGCCUACGCUUAAUGCGAUUUCCCGGCUGUCUUCCGACAGCCAAGAGCAUGCAAAGCGGCUGUCAACAUGCAGACCAGCUCUGAACGGCACCAAGUAGGAUCAGAGAAGGCCCAGGCAGUGUGAAGGGACAGGAAAUACACCUGAGGAGUAGCUUUCAGAGAAGUGCCUGAGCCUUUCGGUACAUGGAUCCUCUUCCCAUUUGCACCUUUGGAAAAAAUACGCAUUCGCCAUUGCUCCGUGCCCGCGGCCUGGAGGUUCCUGGUUUCACCCUCAAGUACUAAACAUACAAACUGGGCCGUAUACUGGAGGCAUGGAGCGCAGCUCUAAUGAAACCAGUCUGUCGAUGGCCGAUGUUGCUCAAACGUCCAGCUUAGUCCUGCCCACCCACCUCCUGGUAGCCGUGGAGACUUCUCCUCCACCUUGUAGUCCCCCAUUGUCCAUUCGUCUGUUCCCUGCUUUGCUCUCAGUAAAUACUUAAACAGAGGCCUUUCAGCGGGAGGGUUAGCCGGGGCGCUGGGGUCUGCAGGUCCCACAGGACCUGCCUGUCCAGCAAACCCAGUGGGUCUGGCCUUCGUGCGCUACUUGAUUUGUGGAGCAGCCUGGAGAAGUCGGAGGAAAAUGAAAUUUAUUUGUAGUCAGUGUGUUAGCUUUCAAUUGCUGUGACAAAGCAUCUAAGAAAAUCAACUUACAAGAGGACAGGUUUAGUUUGGCUCCUGAUUUCAGAGGUUCCAGUGUGUUACGGCUUAGAAGUGUGCACCGUGACUCUCCUGUAUUUGGAAGGUCGGGUUGGUGUUAUGCUUGUCCGUGGAUUCAUCCAUUUGAGGAGUUCAGCAACUGAAUGUGCUGUCAGGAGGUGGGGCCUGGGCCCAGGUGGCCAAGAGGGGCGUGACCUGGAAGGGCGUGUUCUUGUGCACAGCUCUCCCUUCUCUGCCUCCUGCUGCUGUGGGGUGAGCACCUUUCCUCUGCCAGGGCCUUCGACGGCGCUGUUUGUUUUGGAGCCUACCGACCAUGGCCGGAAACUGUAGGGCGAAAUAAACCUUUGCUUCUAUAAAUUGUGGGUGUGUGGCGUUGCGUAUCAGUGACAGGAAAGUAACCAAGACAGUUCAGGGUUGGCUGGCUCUGUUUGAGGGGCAGCGCAUCACGGCGGGGAACGUGGAGGAACAAAGCUGUUCCCCUCCCUGCGACCGGGAAACAACUGGGGGCAGCGUCCCAGUAUUCCCUUCCGGGUCACACCUGACUUCCGGGGUUUAACUUCCUGCCAUUUGGCCCCACUUUCUGAAGGUUCCGCGACCCACCCAGCUUGGCGACCAAACCUUUAACGUAGGAGCCUUUGAGCCUUUGAGGGAGAGAGGAUUCAAGUCCUGCCAGUCAGCAAACAGGAAUAAAGGGGAAGCAGGAAAGACGAGAGGUGCUGGCGCAGGUCGGCGUUCACAGCAGCUGAGGCCUGUUUGGCCAAGCUCCAUAAUAACCCAGAGAAGACACCCAAAUAAUCUGGAGAGCUGUGUUUUUCUCUGUCAGUUUAGGACUGACCGCUUGGCCAAGGAAACAGGUGGAGGAAGCAGGCCAGGGAAGGCUCUGCCAGCCCGACGAAGCAGAUAGGGCCGAGUCUGAAACCCAGGCCGAGCUGAAGUUGCAGUUAGUGUGGAAAUGAAGAUCUUUCAGAAGAGAGGACGUUCCCAGAGCUUGUUCUCUGUUGUCUCGCCGUCUCUUGGCUCCACCCAGACAGCCCCUUGGCUCGCAGACUGUGGCUCCCCAGCGGGACGGCGGGCAGCCUCCCUAACCUUCUCCUGUAAGGCAGAGAGAAGAGGACGACAUGCUCCCCUCGGAACCCACACGCCGCAGCAGAGUUUGCUGCAGACCCCCAAAGCCAAAUCGCGGGGAGUCCUCGAUGGCAUUUCCGGGAGCUGCCACCACCUACCUAAAAAGCUGGUCUCUCUGCAAAGGCUGGAGAGCCGGAGCUAAAGUCAGAGGACUCAAGCUUGUCUACCUGUUGGGGUCAUAAAGAAGGGAUCAAACUCAGGACCUUGCGCUUGCAGGGCAGACACAGUGCCACUGAGCUAAAUCCCUGGUCCUGUAAUUCUUUGUCCCGAGUCAGACAGUAAGGUAUACAGUCGCUCUAAGGCUUCCUCUGGGCCGAGAUCCCUUCCGCCUGACACCUGCAGGCGUACGAAACGGCUGUGUAUGAGAACAGCUCGGAAGAGAAGAAGAGGAGACGCAGCCCGCGGAGGGCGAGGUGAACCACGGCAAGGCGAGGCUUCGUCCUCCUCCCCGCGUUCCAUCCCAUGCCGGUGUCCUGAUCUGAACAUCUGAAACAGCGCGAAGCACUUGCACAACGUGAUGUUCAGACUCAAGACAGCUUCAGGGAAAAAAAGAAGAAAAAAAAGAAACUCAGGAAUAAAGUGUCCCCUCUGAGACUGAAUGAGCUACACAUCUCGGCCCGCUGUGCCACAAAAGCUCCUAACUGUUUUAUCUGUACAGAUGGUUCUCAUUUGGUGUUGGUGGCACGACUCUGUGAGCAUAUUUGUUCCUGAUAAAACUGACUGAAGAACACAGGCUGAGCUCUGCAGUGAAGAGGACCUGCAAAUAUUCUCCACUCUGCAAUUAAACAUCACCCCUAACUUCAAACCUGCUCCCCCUACAUGCUGGGGAAACUCAGAGAGAAGCAGGGGCAGCAUUUGUAAGGGUUAUUUAGGGGACCAGAAGAGUGGGACGGGGGAAGGAAGGAAGUGAUUCUGCCUGUGGAAAUCCUUUCUCUGCUUGAAAAAAUAUCGCCGCACACAAAGACCAUAAACAGAGCCCCUGGAAGACUCCUCUGAGGAACUGUUUUGAAAGCUGGUCCAUGCUCCAGGUCAACAAGAAGGAAAGGGGCCUGGGCGUGGGGGUGACACAGCUCCCCUGUGGGGUGGCCGCCACCCGGCUCUGCUGCCUUUCCGCUCCGAAAACUUCCUCAAUCUGGGUCUCGCUUUUAGAUAAUAAACAUUUGUUAUCCUUGUCCUCGUUAGCUAAAUUUUAUAAGGAGGAAAAUAAGCUAAACAAAGCGAAGAAGUUGUAUACCUGAAAACCUAUCUGUACCCGGCCGGAAUGCAAGGAAGGAAAG
This 3279-nucleotide long non-coding RNA is filed under the name Heterocephalus glaber (naked mole-rat). Its description in RNAcentral is "lncRNA (ENSHGLG00100051689.1)". The record is from RNAcentral. Lineage: Eukaryota; Metazoa; Chordata; Mammalia; Rodentia; Bathyergidae.